GACGAACGCUGGCGGCGUGCUUAACACAUGCAAGUCGAACGGUAAGGCCCUUCGGGGUACACGAGUGGCGAACGGGUGAGUAACACGUGGGUGAUCUGCCCUGCACUUCGGGAUAAGCCUGGGAAACUGGGUCUAAUACCGGAUAGGACCACUGCCUGCAUGGGUGGUGGUGGAAAGCUUUUGCGGUGUGGGAUGGGCCUCCGGCCUAUCAGCUUGUUGGUGGGGUGAUGGCCUACCAAGGCGACGACGGGUAGCCGGCCUGAGAGGGUGACCGGCCACACUGGGACUGAGAUACGGCCCAGACUCCUACGGGAGGCAGCAGUAGGGAAUUUUCCACAAUGGGCGAAAGCCUGAUGGAGCAGCGCCGCGUGCAGGAUGAAUGCCUUCGGGUUGUAAACUGCUUUUAUCUGUGACGAAUAUGACGGUAGCAGAUGAAUAAGGAUCGGCUAACUCCGUGCCAGCCGCCGCAGUAA
This 473-nucleotide ribosomal RNA is filed under the name uncultured bacterium. Its description in RNAcentral is "partial 16S ribosomal RNA". It matches the Rfam family "Bacterial small subunit ribosomal RNA", at positions 28 to 523 of the family's 1533-position model. The record is from RNAcentral.